This 81-nucleotide non-coding RNA is filed under the name Novilysobacter defluvii. RNAcentral's name for it is "Lysobacter defluvii SAH sequence". It matches the Rfam family "SAH (S-adenosyl-L-homocysteine) riboswitch aptamer". Lineage: Bacteria; Pseudomonadati; Pseudomonadota; Gammaproteobacteria; Lysobacterales; Lysobacteraceae. The record is from RNAcentral. RNAcentral also lists the same sequence under 1 other name.
GCCGCCGAGGGGCGCUGCGACCACGACGAAGAUCGUGGCCAGGCUCGGUGGAAACCAUGGAUCGAACGGCGCCCGGUGCCC